AGAGUUUGAUCCUGGCUCAGGAUGAACGCUAGCGGGAGGCCUAACACAUGCAAGUCGAACGGGAUUGAGAGCUUGCUCUCAUGAGCGUGGCGCACGGGUGAGUAACGCGUAUGCAACCUGCCUUUAACUGAGGGAUAGCCCAUAGAAAUGUGGAUUAAUACCUCAUAGUUCUUUUGAGUCGCAUGAUUUGGAAGAUAAAGCUCCGGCGGUUAAAGAUGGGCAUGCGUGACAUUAGCUAGUUGGUGAGGUAACGGCUCACCAAGGCUACGAUGUCUAGGGGUUCUGAGAGGAUGAUCCCCCACACUGGUACUGAGACACGGACCAGACUCCUACGGGAGGCAGCAGUGAGGAAUAUUGGUCAAUGGGCGCAAGCCUGAACCAGCCAUCCCGCGAGCAGGAUGACGGCCCUAUGGGUUGUAAACUGCUUUUAUACACCAAGAAAAAUCCGAACGUGUUCGGACCCGACGGUAGUGUAUGAAUAAGCAUCGGCUAACUCCGUGCCAGCAGCCGCGGUAA
This 516-nucleotide ribosomal RNA is filed under the name uncultured bacterium. Its description in RNAcentral is "bacterial SSU rRNA". It matches the Rfam family "Bacterial small subunit ribosomal RNA", at positions 8 to 523 of the family's 1533-position model. The record is from RNAcentral.